Molecule: ribosomal RNA, 492 nt
Filed under: uncultured bacterium
Lineage: Bacteria
Description: partial 16S ribosomal RNA
Rfam family: Bacterial small subunit ribosomal RNA
Source: RNAcentral
AGUGAACGCUGGCGGUAGGCCUAACACAUGCAAGUCGAACGGCAGCACAGUAAGAGCUUGCUCUUACGGGUGGCGAGUGGCGGACGGGUGAGGAAUACAUCGGAAUCUACUUUUUCGUGGGGGAUAACGUAGGGAAACUUACGCUAAUACCGCAUACGACCUACGGGUGAAAGCAGGGGAUCCUCGGACCUUGCGCGAUUGAAUGAGCCGAUGUCGGAUUAGCUAGUUGGCGGGGUAAAGGCCCACCAAGGCGACGAUCCGUAGCUGGUCUGAGAGGAUGAUCAGCCAAACUGGAAAUGAGACACGGUCCAGACUCCUACGGGAGGCAGCAGUGGGGAAUAUUGGACCAUGGGCGGAAGCCUGAUCCAGCCAUACCGCGUGGGUGAAGAAGGCCUUCGGGUUGUAAAGCCCUUUUGUUGGGAAAGAAAAGCAGCAGGUUAAUACCCCGCUGUUCUGACGGUACCCAAAGAAUAAGCACCGGCUAACUUCGUG